Molecule: ribosomal RNA, 106 nt
Filed under: Mus pahari (shrew mouse)
Lineage: Eukaryota; Metazoa; Chordata; Mammalia; Rodentia; Muridae
Source: RNAcentral
GUCCAUGGCCAUACCAUCCUGAAUGCACCCUAUCUCCUCUGAUCUGGGAAGCUAAGCAGGGUUGGGCCUGGUUAGUACUUGGGAGAAUACUAUUCAGCUAUUAAAA